Molecule: transfer RNA, 72 nt
Filed under: Candidatus Tremblayella princeps
Lineage: Bacteria; Pseudomonadati; Pseudomonadota; Betaproteobacteria
Description: Candidatus Tremblaya princeps tRNA-Ile(CAT)
Rfam family: tRNA
About the family: Transfer RNA (tRNA) molecules are approximately 80 nucleotides in length.
Source: RNAcentral
GGCUAGUUAGCUCAGCGGCAGAGUGGCGGGGUCAUAAUCCGCUGGACCUGGGUUCGAUACCCAGACUAGCCA